CGUCGAACGUAAGAUGACUGUAGGUGAAAGCUUACAUCUCUUCGGAGCAUUUUACGAGGUGCUGCAUGGUUGUCGUCAGCUCGUGCCGUGAGGUGCGGGUUAAGUCCCAUAACGAGCGCAACCCUACCCUUUAGUUGCCAUCAGGUAAUGCUGGGGACUCUAAAGGAACUGCCUACGCAAGUAGUGAGGAAGGCGGGGAUGACGUCAAAUCAGCACGGCCCUUACGUCCAGGGCUACACACGUGCUACAAUGGCCGAUACAGAGGGCAGCUACCUGGUGACAGGAUGCAAAUCUCCAAAGUCGGUCUCAGUUCGGAUCGGAGUCUGCAACCCGACUCCGUGAAGUUGGAUUCGCUAGUAAUCGCGCAUCAGCCAUGGCGCGGUGAAUACGUUCCCGGGCCUU
Molecule: ribosomal RNA, 402 nt
Filed under: uncultured Sphingobacteriales bacterium
Lineage: Bacteria; Pseudomonadati; Bacteroidota; Sphingobacteriia; Sphingobacteriales
Description: bacterial SSU rRNA
Rfam family: Bacterial small subunit ribosomal RNA
Source: RNAcentral